This 261-nucleotide unclassified non-coding RNA is filed under the name uncultured fungus. Its description in RNAcentral is "partial contains small subunit ribosomal RNA, internal transcribed spacer 1, and 5.8S ribosomal RNA". The stretch from base 1 to 73 matches the Rfam family "Eukaryotic small subunit ribosomal RNA", at positions 1759 to 1831 of the family's 1831-position model. The record is from RNAcentral. Lineage: Eukaryota; Fungi.
GCAAACUUGGUCAUUUAGAGGAAGUAAAAGUCGUAACAAGGUUUCCGUAGGUGAACCUGCGGAAGGAUCAUUAUCGUAGGGCUUCUGCCCUGUCGAGAUAGCGUCCUUGCCUAUUUUUUGGAGUACCUUUUCGUUUCCUCAGCAGGCUUGCCGGGACCCUUUAAACUCUUUGUAAAUACAGCAUCUGUCUGAAUAAACAAACAAAAAAUCAAAACUUUCAACAAUGGAUCUCUUGGUUCUGGCAUCGAUGAAGAACGCAGC